GUGAGAGUGAGUGAGUGAGAGGCGCUGUGAGGCGGGCGGGAAAAGGGCGCGAUGUGGGGCCGGGGUGAUGGGGACAAGAUAGGAGGAGUAGUGAGGCCAGGAUGGUGAUUGUGGUAAAGUGACGGGAUUGAGGUGGCGGGGAUAAGGUGGAGCUGAGGUAGCGGGGCUGAUGUGGGGAUGAACUGAGGUGACAAGAUGGAGCUGAGGGAGUGAGGGCUGUGUGGGGCUGAGGUGAGGGAGGGUGAACUGGGGGUGAGGGAGUGGGGACAGGGGCUGUGUGGGGCUGAGGUGACGGGGGUGAGAUGGGGUUGGGAUAAUGAUGACAACAUGGGGGUGAGGUGGGAUAACUGAGGUGGUGGGGACAAUGCAGAGCUGAGCUGACAGACAAGAAGGCACUGAGGUGGUUUUGGACCACUGGGGUGAAAUGCUGGUGGAGUGAAGGGACAAAAUGGGGCUGAGGUAGUGGGGAGAUGAGGUGAGUGGGGGUGAACUGGGGGUGAGGCAGCGGGGUAAGAAUUGGGACGCUGUGGUGAUGGGGACGAGGUGGGGAUGAGGUGACUGGGAUGAGAUUGGCACUGAGGUGACUGAGGGGCUGCCUGGUGGAGCAGGAUGAUGGGUGCAGGGAGAGCACAGACCCAUCUCUGCCAUGUAAAGACAGCAGCGCCAGCCCUGCAGUGGGGACCAUGGGAAAGUGAGUGGUGAGGAGAGGCAUCCCCAUUCACCCCAAAGCACAGACUGUCAACUACCCUUGGCAUGGCACAAGUGUUUGUCACAAGUUUUAAAGAACCAGCUAUGGAGCAGUCUACAGAACGCUUGGCUCGGGCUGAGCUGCUGCAUAGCUGGAAGUCUCUGCUGAGCACGGAGCUAAAGAGUGUACUGAGGAGCCAUCUACUGGCUGCAAUAACUGAGAACAGCUCGCAGUGCCCGCCUUGAGCAGAUCUCAUCCCUUUCAAAUUGGAUAGUACCAACGUGGAUCUGCUGAAUGAAUCUUGUAAGAAAGCUGUGGGUGAAGAAAAAGAAGAAACAAGGCCUGGUGGUGAGGUGGCUGCUCAGCUUGAGAACAGAGUAAAUCUCCAUGCAGAAACUCCUGGGAAAACCCCUUCAAGUGACUGACAGCAAAACUGAAACUAUGGCCUUUCCUGCACAGAGCUGCCACAUCUGGAGCAGUGCUGCAUGCUGAUUCUGCUGAGUGAGUGCCUGCUCAAAUCAUAGCCCUGGGUAUGUUGUCUUCUGCAUCAUCAAUUUCUCAAUUUGCUGCUGGUCAAAUAAAGGCUCUCUUCCGUGCUUUUGGCUGGACUUAAAAAAACAAAUCUGUUAAAAGUUGAUUUUCCAAGGCCAUACUGGAAUUUCCCAAUGGCACCAGAAUGCACAUCAUUGUCUGCCAACACACUGCCUACGUGUUUCUUCAGCAAGAAAGUGAAUUCAGGGCUGCACUUAUUCUAAUGUUACAGGCACUGUCCUGUCAUGCAAGCACACCACAGCACUGCUGCUUUUCUUUCUUAUCUAAACUGAGGGAAAAAAGGUGAGCCUGAAAAUGAGCGAAAGAAAGGGCAUCUAGCCCUUCCCUUUCCCUUGCUGCUGAGUGGCAGCAAGUUUCACAACAAUUUGCAGCAAAAUACACAGUGCAGUAAGGCUGGAGGCAGCAUGCAAUACCUGCUGUACCUUGUGCACUGUGCUCUGCUUAGAGAGGUGGCUGCUGGUCUGAAUGAGCCCAGAAGUCCAGUGGAUUUGAGCCGUACUCUGAACAGGUUGCUGGUCUCAACCUUGUGUCUUCCUCCAGCCAUUACUUUUUUUUUAGCAUGGCCAGAAAUCCAAAUGUUCUCUGACCCCAGAAAUUUCCUUUCAGCAGAAUUAAAGGACUCAGUAUUUAUCUGGAGUUUUACCUGCUUGGUUUGGCUAUGGCUGGCUGGAAAUCCUGGGCAUUGCGUAUUGGAAAAAGCAGUUAUGCUGCCUUGGCUGAUAUGGGUCUGUGUGCCACACCCAGCAUGGAGAGAUGCCUCCUCGACCCACAGGAACUGAGAGAGAAUGUGUCCAAAGCUUGGAUGUGGCCAAAGACUGUCAUAUUGAUAUAACUGAAUCAAUACAGUGUGUGUCAACACAGCUUCUAUAUGGAGGCAACACUGAAGUAAUUAAACUCUCAGUGACUGAAUAGUUCUGGCAUCAGAUUCUAGUAGAACAGGGAAAUUCCCUUCUGUAAAACAUGGAAAUUCCUUUCUGUUGCAAGGAGUAUAAAUGACUCUCUCACUUUUCCAUACAACUACAGACAGGUUAGAAGAGAGAAACCAGCAGUCCUGGGAGGGAGCAGCAGACAGGGUCAGCGGGGUGAUAUGGCAGGAAUGGAACACAAGAUCAACAAAGCAGGGCUUAAGUGGGGUCACCUCAGGCACAUGUAUGUAAGGAAAGAAGAAAUCCCACAAACCCUUUCUAGAAAGUCUAUGCACCAGGGUACAUUUCUGAAGCCUGUGUGUUAAUACAGGAAAUAUGGGAAAUAAACAUGGUGAGUUAGAGAUAGGUGUGCAGUUGCAGGGCCACAAUCCUGUUGGGAUCACACAGAUAUGGUGAGAUGGCUCCCACAGCUGGAGUGCUGCAAUGGGCAGAGACUAGCCUUUUAGAAGGGACAGGUCAGGAAGCAGGUCAUAAGAAACCCAGGUGGUUCCUGGAGUGUGUCAACAACAACUUCCUGACUGGAAGGAUGGAGGAGCCACUAAGGAGAGGUGCUUUGUUAGAGGGUGAGGUCAAUGAGCAUCUAGUUUAUGUUACUGUUUAGUCAGUGCAACAGCAUUCACUGGGAUUGCAGAAAAGAAAUGCCCAAAACAAAACUGAAAAAUCCCUACCCCUAGGCUGUUACUACCACUUCUAAAAAUGUCUUGUGUGAAGGCAGCUAUGCUGGCAAAAUAAAAAAAGGAUUUGUUUUUUA
Molecule: non-coding RNA, 2917 nt
Organism: Phasianus colchicus (ring-necked pheasant)
Lineage: Eukaryota; Metazoa; Chordata; Aves; Galliformes; Phasianidae
Source: RefSeq, a predicted model, not a curated record